AAACCGUUCAGGGGUAAACCUGUGAAACCCAAAAGAUCGAAUGAGGAGAUUCAUCGUCAGCGUAUUUAGUAUUAAUGCAGGCUAUGAUGUGAUAAUAGAAUCCUCGUGAUCACUAAAUUAUACUUGCUUGUAUUAUUUUUGCUGAGUAUGUCGGCGUGCACUUCUCCUCUAGUAGAACGUCGCAACCCGUUGGAUGUUUAUCUAUGGCUUGAUUGGUAGCCUUUGAUAUAUUUAUUAUAUUGAAGACCUUUUGGUGUCCUGAUAAACUGUCUGACGGUAUACAUANUAGUAUUGAGCCGCAAUGAUUUGCGUUAGAUUUGCUGCAAGUAAGGCUUUAUUCUGGUAGUGCGGAUUUAAUGCCGUCGCUGGNACAAAGUCUGCUGUUAGCUGUAAUGUCUUUAACUGGCUUAUUUACUGGUUAGCGAUGCUACUGCUUUGGGUACUUAC
Molecule: ribosomal RNA, 447 nt
Filed under: Apanteles sp. Rodriguez14
Lineage: Eukaryota; Metazoa; Arthropoda; Insecta; Hymenoptera; Braconidae
Description: partial 28S ribosomal RNA
Source: RNAcentral